Drosophila obscura is the source of this 700-nucleotide long non-coding RNA. RefSeq lists it as uncharacterized. The transcript is spliced from 3 exons. NCBI's taxonomy places the organism in Eukaryota, Metazoa, Arthropoda, Insecta, Diptera, Drosophilidae. The record is from RefSeq and is a predicted model, not a curated record.
GUCUCGACUUGUUAAUAUUGAGCAGCGCAUUAUUUAUGGCAAACUUUCCACCAAAACACUUUCAAUUGAGAUGGCAGGGAAAGGGGCUAGAGAGACGGUGGUGGCAGUUCACUCGAGUUGUUAUCCCAUCCCUCAGCGGUUCCGCCACCACCUGCCAUUUUCUCACUUGCAUCGAAUGCAGUGAAAAAGUUUUUCGCAGCAUCUUCUCACAACCAAUAACUUAAAGUCCUGGCAGGUAGCCCUAGAGAGUGAAGGGGAACCGUGGAGUGGAGUGGAGUCGAGUCGAGUCCCAUGUCCGUGGCCACAGGAACCAACCAUAACUGAAAAACAAACAUGGUACCCAGCAGAGUCCCCCAAGGCCUGGCCAGGAUAACAAGGAAAAAGCAGGGGCAGGUGUUUGCAAAGUAAGCAGAUGUUUGGAUACCCUUUGAAGGAAGCUUUAGAAACUUCCUUUGGAAUGGGAAGACGCAGAAGAAGGCGCUUUGUUUUCGCUGAUCUUUGAGUUGCUUAGCUGCUGUAACCGUCUUUCAUCUCUCAGUGAAGCGAACCUCUGCAGAUGUUAGUGUACAUCCAACCAGCUACGCACUACAGCGCUUUCAGUCCCUCUUCUGGGGCUUCGCUUGCCCCACAGCUAGUUGCUGCCCCAAAACCGCAUCAUAACAAUAGCAGCAGCAGGAGGAGCUGCAGCAGCAGCAGCAAC